UGAGGAAUAUUGGUCAAUGGGCGAGAGCCUGAACCAGCCAGAGUAGCUGUGCAGGCAUGACGGCCCUAUGGGAUUGUAAACUGUCUUUUAUACAGGGAUAAAGUGAGGAACGUGUGGCCUUUUUGUCAGGUACCGUAAGAAAAAGGGGCCGGCUAAUAACCAG
Molecule: ribosomal RNA, 163 nt
Filed under: uncultured bacterium
Lineage: Bacteria
Description: partial 16S ribosomal RNA
Source: RNAcentral